CUAAGAAAGUGGUUGCCUACCUGGUGUUUGAUCAGUAGGGUGUUCAAUUAACACACGACUCCAGUUGUGACUUAAACUGCAUUUCCCUAAGACUAGCAUGAAGGAAUGGAGGAAUAAAGUAAACGAUUACAACCCAUAUUUUGUACUUGGGGAUAUUUGGGAGUCUUUAAAGGAAUGGAGUGCAUAUGGAGCUGGAGUUC
Helianthus annuus (common sunflower) is the source of this 200-nucleotide long non-coding RNA. RefSeq lists it as uncharacterized. The record is from RefSeq and is a predicted model, not a curated record. Lineage: Eukaryota; Viridiplantae; Streptophyta; Magnoliopsida; Asterales; Asteraceae. The transcript is spliced from 3 exons.